GCAAGAUUAAAACUCAAAGGAAUAGACGGGGACCCGCACAAGCGGUGGAGCAUGUGGUUUAAUUCGACGAUACGCGAAGAACCUUACCUGGCCUUGACAUAGACAGAAGUUUGCAGAGACGCAGAUGUGCUAGUUUACUAGAACUGUCAUACAGGUGCUGCACGGCUGUCGUCAGCUCGUGUCGUGAGAUGUUGGGUUAAGUCCCGCAACGAGCGCAACCCUCGUGUUUAGUUACUAACAGUUCGGCUGAGGACUCUAAACAGACUGCCUGGGUAACCAGGAGGAAGGUGAGGACGACGUCAAGUCAUCAUGGCCCUUACGGCCAGGGCUACACACGUGCUACAAUGGGGUAUACAAAGAGCUGCAAUACGGUGACGUGGAGCAAAUCUCAUAAAAUAUCUCCCAGUUCGGAUUGAAGUCUGCAACUCGACUUCAUGAAGUUGGAAUCGCUAGUAAUCGUAGAUCAGCAAUGCUACGGUGAAUACGUUCCCGGGUCUUGUACUCACCGCCCGUCACACCAUGGGAAUUGAAUUCAUUCGAAGCGGGGAUGCUAAAAUAGCUACCUUCCACAGUGGAUUUAGUAACUAGGGUGAAGUCGUAACAAGGUA
RNAcentral lists this ribosomal RNA (608 nucleotides) under uncultured bacterium. RNAcentral describes it as "bacterial SSU rRNA". It matches the Rfam family "Bacterial small subunit ribosomal RNA", at positions 888 to 1498 of the family's 1533-position model. The record is from RNAcentral.